RNAcentral lists this ribosomal RNA (460 nucleotides) under uncultured bacterium. RNAcentral describes it as "partial 16S ribosomal RNA". It matches the Rfam family "Bacterial small subunit ribosomal RNA", at positions 338 to 795 of the family's 1533-position model. The record is from RNAcentral.
CCUACGGGAUGCUGCAGUGAGGAAUAUUGGUCAAUGGGCGCGAGCCUGAACCAGCCAAGUAGCGUGAAGGAUGACUGCCCUACGGGUUGUAACCUUCUUUUAUAAAGGAAUAAAGUGAGGCACGUGUGCCUUUUUGUAUGUACUUUAUGAAUAAGGAUCGGCUAACUCCGUGCCAGCAGCCGCGUUAAUACGGAGGAUCCGAGCGUUUUCCGGAUUGAUUGGGUUUAAGGGGAGCGUAGAUGGGUUGUAAAGUCAGUUGUGAAAGUUUGCGGCUCAACCGUAAAAUUGCAAUUGAUACUGGCAGUCUUGAGUACAGUUGAGGUAGGAGGAAUGCGUGGUGUAGCGGUGAAAUGCUUAGAUAUCACGAAGAACCCCGAUUGCGAAGGCAGCUUACUAAACUGUGACUGACAUUGAUGCUCGAAAGUGUGGGUAUCAAACAGGAUUAGAUACCCUUGUAGUC